UACGUAGGGAGCAAGCGUUGUCCGGAUUCACUGGGUGUAAAGGGUGCGUAGGCGGGAGAAUAAGUCAGCGGUGAAAUCUUACGGCUCAACCGUGAAACUGCCGUUGAUACUGUUUUUCUUGAGUUCGGGAGAGGUUGAUGGAAUUCCAGGUGUAGCGGUGAAAUGCGUAGAUAUCUGGAAGAACACCAGUGGCGAAGGCGGUCAACUGGCCCGAUACUGACGCUGAGGAGCGAAAGCGUGGGGAGCGAACAGG
Molecule: ribosomal RNA, 253 nt
Filed under: uncultured bacterium
Lineage: Bacteria
Description: partial 16S ribosomal RNA
Rfam family: Bacterial small subunit ribosomal RNA
Source: RNAcentral